UAUCCAGAUAGCUGUCCGGUGAAGGAAGCCAAACCCGCAGAUAUUUAGAGCUCUACUCACAGAAGACAGCUAUGUUGAUACUUGCAUUAGGGGUCUGGCUCAUUCCAAUGACGCUCAUCUUCGCGCCAUGUAGGCGCCUGGUUCUCCUUGUUGCCAAGCUCCAGGAACUACGAGCCAGCAUCAUGCGCGGUAGGUCAUCGUAUCCAGCAGCAUGGAGUCUCGUGACGAGGAUACAAACAAUAAGCAUCACGCUGUGAGCCUGUGACCGAAGAUUGGAAGUAAUUCCCGAUCGAGAUGUGCAAUUGAGCUUCCAUCAGUUGGGCAGCCCUCGUUAGAAUCAUUCCCUUCAGGGCCUGUUUGUUUGUACUGCAGUUUUGGGAUUUUGGCUCGAAGCUAGCUUUUGACUUCCGGCUGUUGGCUUUUUGGCUAUUGACUUCUGUAAAAAAAAAAAUUAGCUUUUUAGCACACCAAAAGCCAGAAAAGCUCAUAUCAACAUGCUUUUCAGUUUUUUAGUUUAUUUCCUCAAAAGACAGCCUUUCAAAAGCCAACUCAACCGCUGGAUUCUUAGUUUCAACUUUUGGCUUCUGAAACUAAAAGGCCGUCAGUCAUGUAUCAGGUGAGUACCACCUCAACAACCCUAGUUCAUGACUAGUCUUACCCUACAGAUGUUUUCUUGAAAGCUGAAAUUCCUCCUUGUAUGCAAUGCACGAUGGACAUAGUAAGGAAGCAAUGUUACCUUGACACUUACUGUCCAAUGUUCCAACUUAUCUGCGGGUGGACUUUACAGUGCAAAAUGGUCAAUAUCCAUUGAUGGAAAUCCUGACUGUAACAUUUUUAUCCCUUGCAAUAUAUUUUUAGCAGUCUCCUUCUCCUGCACAUAUUGAAUGCAUAUCAGCAGCAUAUGAAAGCAGCGGCGACAUGUAACCAGAAUCAUGGGAAUUAAUGCAAACAGUUUCAUUAGAAUUGAAACCUGAUUGGAGAUCACGGGGAAUCUUCUCCACAGCCCUGCUCCACCAGUCAUCUAGGCUGCAAAAAGCGUUGUCCGGUGAAAGAUUAGGCAACCCAGACCUGCUCAACAAGAAGUACCAGAACUGUCUUGCAAAGACGCAAGAGAUGAAAAGAUGUUGUAUUGUUUCCUCUUCUUGGUCACAAAGGGGACACGCACUGGGAUGGGAAAGUCCUCUUUUAGCAAGACGGUCUGCGGUCCAGCAUCUAUUGUGCAAGACAAGCCAAAGAAAGAAUCUGCACUAGCAAGAAAGAAGUCUUCUUCAUGCGUCUCUAGUUCCAGAUAUGCACUAGCAAGAAAGAAGUCUUUCAUCCAGCGAUUCUUCAGAUUUAAUUUGUUUAAAAUGUCACUGCUGGUGCAUAAAGUUUGUAGCUCUGACCAAGCACUCCAGUUCCAAGGAUAGCUAUUGACAGGUUCUACCAAGAUCUUUCGAGUUA
Long non-coding RNA from Zea mays, 1443 nucleotides. RefSeq lists it as uncharacterized. The transcript is spliced from 2 exons. The record is from RefSeq and is a predicted model, not a curated record. NCBI's taxonomy places the organism in Eukaryota, Viridiplantae, Streptophyta, Magnoliopsida, Poales, Poaceae.